This 367-nucleotide RNase P RNA is filed under the name Lactobacillus selangorensis. RNAcentral's name for it is "Paralactobacillus selangorensis Bacterial RNase P class B". It matches the Rfam family "Bacterial RNase P class B". Rfam says of the family: Ribonuclease P (RNase P) is a ubiquitous endoribonuclease, found in archaea, bacteria and eukarya as well as chloroplasts and mitochondria. Its best characterised activity is the generation of mature 5'-ends of tRNAs by cleaving the 5'-leader elements of precursor-tRNAs. The record is from Rfam by way of RNAcentral. Lineage: Bacteria; Bacillati; Bacillota; Bacilli; Lactobacillales; Lactobacillaceae.
AACUUCGGGUAAUUGCGGUCGGCAAUGGUCGGCUGAGGAAAGUCCAUGCCCGCACAAGCUGCGAUGCUUGUAGUGUUCGCGCCCAGCCCAAUAAGCUGAGGUACCUGAAAAGGUAACGGCGGAAAAAUGCGCUAACGGUUUUACCCAUGCGCUAGUAUUCCUGAAAAGUGCCACAGUGACGAAGCAAUGUGAGAAAUUGCAUUGAUGGAACGCGGUAAACCCCACGAGCGAGUAACCCAAACUUUAUGGUAGGGGCGUCCUGAGUCUGAAAAUGAACGAUGCCCAGGAGCUCGAAAGAGUAGAUAGAUGAUUACCGAAACGUAUUCUUUACCUGAGGAAUGCGUGGAACAAAACAUGGCUUAUAGAA